This 228-nucleotide unclassified non-coding RNA is filed under the name Hevea brasiliensis (rubber tree). Lineage: Eukaryota; Viridiplantae; Streptophyta; Magnoliopsida; Malpighiales; Euphorbiaceae. The record is from RNAcentral.
AUCUUUUGCACUUUUUCCAUGAGCUUUCAAAAUAUUGAUGCUCUUGAUCGGGUAUUUGACUUCCCCUCGUACAUUGGUCAUCUUUACUGCUUGUACAGCAUCUACAACCAGAUUCGCAAAAAAAUCGCAGUCACCAGCUAUCAACUUCGAGGACAUGCUUGUCUUAGCACAAUUUACAAGAGAAUCUUUUCCAAGUUUUUCAACCUUCACAGCCAAUUUUUCAUCAAC